UGGAGGAGUGGUGGUGGUUCUCUAAUGGAGAUUAGAGAGAGGAAAUGAGGUAGUGUGUGAAGUGGGAGAUGGUGUGUGAAAAAGUGGAGAAGAUAGACUUAAAUAAAGAUGGAUGAAAAGUGGGAGAGAAAACCAAAAACAGCUUUCUUCCUCUCCUCCCAUCCGUUUGAAACACUAAGGAAAGAGUGUUCAAAUUGCCAUAACUUUUCCAAAACCAAAGCAAAAGGUGAGGGGGGAGAUAGAGUAGGUUAAUAGGCAAUCAUGAAGAAAAGGGGUAGGAUAAUGUGGUGAUUCAACCUACAAAACAUGGAAGAUAAUUGUAGGGACUUUGAUGGACUUUUGGGUAAAAAGGGGGGAAGUGAGGAUUGUGUGGGAAAGAGGGAAAUGUGUUGGAGUUGAAUCCUAACCAAAAGGUUAAGAACUAGUUGUGAUUGAACAAGACUUCUCCACCUUUCCUUUUCCAUGAAAUUGGCCGGAAAAUAUAUGGCACCACCAAAAGUGGUGGUGCGCCGCCACUUGUGCCGCCAAAAGUGGUGAUGCUCGGAAAAUUGCCGGAAUUUCACCGUUUCUCUUCUCUUGUCAAUAUUUUCUACAAAACAUGGAAUUGGAUUAAUUGACAACAAAAUGGACUUUAGAACAAGUAAUUUUCAAGGAUUAGGACACAAAAUUAUCUAUGAAUUAUGAUCCAACAAUAACAUUUCAGUAAGAAAAUUGUUUCAUCAGCUCUCUUCCUACACAUAACUACACACCUCUCUUCCUACAACAUUGUUUCAGCAGCUGCUCGAGGUGAAUCUUAGAGGGCAAACCUUAGACAGGGAUUUCCAAACUGAAAUCGAGUUCAGUUUGUAAGACACUGUUUGAUAGAUCAGGCUAACAAUAGAUUAACAUCUGGAAAAUAGUAUGGAAGCUUCAAAUUCCAAUAGGCAGAAGAGAAAAUCACACUCACAAUUUCAAAGCUACAAUAUAGAAAAAUUUGAAAAACUCAAGAUCUGAAAACCCUUACAUAUGCUAACACUGAUCUCAUAUGUGGUCACCAAUUUGUAACCGAACAUAUAUAUAGAUCUUCCAGGACUACUUUGGGGCACUUCUUUUGAAUACAAUUUAGGUGUGCAGGUAAAUUUUCUUUCCUCAACACAUUAAAUAAAUAAAGAAUAUGAAACAAUAUAAGAAAGGAAACAUUUUUAGACAUGCCAAAGCUUUUAGCAUUGAUAAUCAUCUAGCACCACAUUAAGCACAAAUUUGUAAACACAAAAUCUAACCUGCAAUUUUAGCAGCAAAACCUUAUACUUUGAAUCUUCAACAUGUUCUUUCUCUUCAGCCUUUGUAGACUCUGAAAAGGUAAAAUAAAGGAAAUUAGCAUGUUGUUUUGGAAAUAUAUAGAAUAUAUAAUCAAAAGUAAGUAGUUACACAAUAAUAACAUCUUCAAACUGAAUAUAAUCAAAAGUAAGAUGCAAACAGAUGAAAGUUAAAUCAAUCAAAUACUGUCAAUAUAGAAAAGAAUUGCAACAAUCCACUGCUUGCACUUACCGAAAUGUGAUAUGUAGAGUUCCAAAUCAGUUAUGUGAUUGACUGUUUCACUUUCACCAGACCUAUAGAAAAAGAAGAAAAUAAACUGUAAAUACAGAAUACUAACCUGAAACCUCAUAUUUUCCUGGUGAGCAUGAUCUAUGCAAUCUCAUAGCUUUAGGGCUUUAAGAUGCAAGUAGUUCUGUUAUGUUUAGGAUAAUAGUUUCUAACGACUUUUGACAGCUUUUACAAUUUCUACGUUCUCUCGAUUUCAAUUCAAAUCAGGAUUGACACUUGACUCUUUUAGAAUUCCAACUGCACAAUGAACUAAUCAUACGCAAACUUAAAUUUUUUUUUAAAACUUUCUUUUCCAAAUCAAAAAGGGAAAACAACAAUCUAAACUACAUCAAAUAGUCACAUAUUAUUACCAACCGUAAACAAUAUCAAAUUGUUGGUGUGAAACUAAAAGCAAGAAGAAAGACUAUGCAAGGAGUGAGAAGAGGAGGUAUAGGUGAGGUCUAGGUGAUGAAGCAAAGGUGAGUAUUUACAGCUAUAUGCAAGUAGUUGAUAAUAUGCAUCGAUCAACUGCCAUCCCAAAUCAUACAAAACACAAUAAAUAAAAGCAAAAACAUAGAUAAAUAAUGAAGAUGAAGAUCAGUUUAAGAUAGACUCACCUACUCCAAUAUAUAACUCCCAAUUACAUAACUAUUUCUACCUGCAAACAUAGAAAGUCAAGAUCCAUUAAAUGAAUUAACUGGGGAAAUUGAAAGGAGAACCAACACAUGGGCUGAUACCUAUCAAGAUACCAAAACUUAACUAUUCCAUCUUAGACAUUAACAGUACGAAACAACCCAAAUACAGAAGGUGUAAUCAAUUCCAAACACAGAAAAUUAGAACCUGAACUCUACAGUUAUCCUUUCACAACAAUCAAAAUACCAUAUGACCAAAAAUAUGUGUAUCUGAGAGAAUAAGACCAUAACCACAACAAAAUAGCACUAACCUGGAUCUCGUAUUGGGCUCCCCUCUUCCUUUUUUUCUAAAUUCAGACCUCUUUUUCGUCUAUGGAAACCUAGAAAACAGAAGUUCGUAUUAGUCACAAUUGUUGAAGGAAAUAGAUAACAUCGACGUGAAAGAGUGAACAAAGUUUAUAGACUAUGCUAGGAUAACAUACGCUGGGAUGAUCAAUAUCAAUUGAUUUCUGCUUCUAUUUAAAGUAAUGAAAAAGGGGAAAAAAAAAAAAACUGAAUCGGAGGCCUAACCUGUAAAGGUCACUUCAGAGAUGAAACGGAAGCGGCGAUCUUUUCUGAAGCUUUAGGAGGCGGCGAGCGAGAGAUCAUUCGAGAAAUAUCAGGUGGGAGAGAAGCGGCGAGACUUCAAGACACUGGAGAGAUCGAUGGAAAAAGAGAGAGCAAAGGGUAGAGAAAAAGACGAAGAAUC
This 2943-nucleotide long non-coding RNA is filed under the name Fragaria vesca (wild strawberry). Its description in RNAcentral is "long non-coding RNA (FVES_LNC000338)". The record is from RNAcentral. Lineage: Eukaryota; Viridiplantae; Streptophyta; Magnoliopsida; Rosales; Rosaceae.